GAACGAACUCUGGUAUUGAUUGGUGCUUGCAUCAUGAUUUACAUUUGAGUGAGUGGCGAACUGGUGAGUAACACGUGGGAAACCUGCCCAGAAGCGGGGGAUAACACCUGGAAACAGAUGCUAAUACCGCAUAACAACUUGGACCGCAUGGUCCGAGUUUGAAAGAUGGCUUCGGCUAUCACUUUUGGAUGGUCCCGCGGCGUAUUAGCUAGAUGGUGGGGUAACGGCUCACCAUGGCAAUGAUACGUAGCCGACCUGAGAGGGUAAUCGGCCACAUUGGGACUGAGACACGGCCCAAACUCCUACGGGAGGCAGCAGUAGGGAAUCUUCCACAAUGGACGAAAGUCUGAUGGAGCAACGCCGCGUGAGUGAAGAAGGGUUUCGGCUCGUAAAACUCUGUUGUUAAAGAAGAACAUAUCUGAGAGUAACUGUUCAGGUAUUGACGGUAUUUAACCAGAAAGCCACGGCUAACUACGUGCCAGCAGCCGCGGUAAUACGUAGGUGGCAAGCGUUGUCCGGAUUUAUUGGGCGUAAAGCGAGCGCAGGCGGUUUUUUAAGUCUGAUGUGAAAGCCUUCGGCUCAACCGAAGAAGUGCAUCGGAAACUGGGAAACUUGAGUGCAGAAGAGGACAGUGGAACUCCAUGUGUAGCGGUGAAAUGCGUAGAUAUAUGGAAGAACACCAGUGGCGAAGGCGGCUGUCUGGUCUGUAACUGACGCUGAGGCUCGAAAGUAUGGGUAGCAAACAGGAUUAGAUACCCUGGUAGUCCAUACCGUAAACGAUGAAUGCUAAGUGUUGGAGGGUUUCCGCCCUUCAGUGCUGCAGCUAACGCAUUAAGCAUUCCGCCUGGGGAGUACGGCCGCAAGGCUGAAACUCAAAGGAAUUGACGGGGGCCCGCACAAGCGGUGGAGCAUGUGGUUUAAUUCGAAGCUACGCGAAGAACCUUACCAGGUCUUGACAUACUAUGCAAAUCUAAGAGAUUAGACGUUCCCUUCGGGGACAUGGAUACAGGUGGUGCAUGGUUGUCGUCAGCUCGUGUCGUGAGAUGUUGGGUUAAGUCCCGCAACGAGCGCAACCCUUAUUAUCAGUUGCCAGCAUUAAGUUGGGCACUCUGGUGAGACUGCCGGUGACAAACCGGAGGAAGGUGGGGAUGACGUCAAAUCAUCAUGCCCCUUAUGACCUGGGCUACACACGUGCUACAAUGGAUGGUACAACGAGUUGCGAACUCGCGAGAGUAAGCUAAUCUCUUAAAGCCAUUCUCAGUUCGGAUUGUAGGCUGCAACUCGCCUACAUGAAGUCGGAAUCGCUAGUAAUCGCGGAUCAGCAUGCCGCGGUGAAUACGUUCCCGGGCCUUGUACACACCGCCCGUCACACCAUGAGAGUUUGUAACACCCAAAGUCGGUGGGGUAACCUUUUAGGAAC
RNAcentral lists this ribosomal RNA (1420 nucleotides) under Lactiplantibacillus plantarum. RNAcentral describes it as "bacterial SSU rRNA". It matches the Rfam family "Bacterial small subunit ribosomal RNA". Lineage: Bacteria; Bacillati; Bacillota; Bacilli; Lactobacillales; Lactobacillaceae. The record is from RNAcentral.